This 2780-nucleotide long non-coding RNA is filed under the name Salmo salar (Atlantic salmon). RNAcentral describes it as "lncRNA (ENSSSAG00000108752.1)". Lineage: Eukaryota; Metazoa; Chordata; Actinopteri; Salmoniformes; Salmonidae. The record is from RNAcentral.
GAUUUCCGCCCCUGGCUGUCACAACUUCCACCGAAGUCGGUUCCUCUCCUUGUUCGGGCGGAGUUCGGCAUCACUGGUCUUCUAGCCAUCGUCGAUCCACUUUUCAUUUGUCUGGUUUUCCUACACACCUGGUUCUCAUUUCCCUCAUUAAAUGUUGUGUAUUUAACCCUCUGUUCCCCCCAUGUCUUUGUGUGGAAUUGUUUGUUGUAAGUGCUUGUGCACAUGUUUACUGGUGCACGUUGGGUUUUGUACCCAUGUUGGUUAUUUCUUUAUGCCGUUGGUUUUCAAAAUUAAACUGCUCCGUUCUGCUCUCCUGCGUCUGACUUCACUGCCACCAGUUACGCACCCCUUACAUGGGCACACUUAUGCAUAUGUUUUUGUCCUGCCCUGAACUAAGCAAUUAUUGGAAAGACAUUAUUCAGAUCUUAUCACAGGUCACUAAUAUGACGGUAGCACUAGAUCCUUCCCUUAUUCUUCUUGGAGAUGAUUCUGUUCUACCAGUUAAUAUUUGUAUCAAAACCAGAUUCAUUAAAUUGGCAGUCAUUGCAGCCAGUAAAUGCACAGCUAUUAUAUGGAAGUGUCACGCCUUCAGCGGAGGUCUGCAGCCCAGAGCCUUCAGCGGAGGUCUGCAGCCCAGAGCCUUCAGCGGAGGUCUGCAGCCCAGAGCCUCCAGCGGCGGCUUGGAGGUCGGAACCUCCAGCAGUGGUCUACAGCACAGUGAUUCCGGUAAGGAUCUACAGUCCGAUUCCUCCAAUCAUGAUCCAUAGGCCUAUGUUACAGAAGCGGAGGGAUCUGCGGGCGGAAUGAAGGUUACGCCCUGAGCCAGAGCUACCUCCGAAGCUGGAGGAUCGGGAGAAGAGGAGGGUUCUGGGUGGAGCACAUGAGCCGCCAUAGACUGUUGUCACCCUCCCUGCCCUCCCUUUCUGUUUGGGGUUGUUGUUGUUGGGUUUUUUGGUUUGGGUGCAGUCAGAGUCUGCACCUUUGGGGGGGUACUGUCACGUCCUGACCCUGGUAUGAGGUAAUUUAUCCCUAGUAGAUUGGUCAGGGUGUGACAGGGGGGUGUUUUGUCUAUGUGUUUUGGGUUUUCUGUUUUCUAUGUGGAUUGUCUAGAGUUUCAUUCUAUGUUGUCAUUUUCUAUGUUGUGGCCAGGUAUGGUUUCCAAUCAGAGUCAGCUGUCUAUCGUUGUCUCUGAUUGGAAGCCAUACUUAGGCAGCCUGUUUUCCUUUGGGGUUUGUGGGUAGUUGUUUCCGUUUAGUCUAGAGUACCUGACGGGACUGUUGGUCGUUUUAUUGUUUUGUUGUUGAAGUGUUUUUAUUAAAAAUCAAAGAAUGAGCACUAUACACGCUGCGCCUUGGUCUCCAUUCAACGACCCCUGUGACAGGAAGUGUGACACUCCGCCAAGCAAGCAGAUGUGGCUAAAAUAACUAUCUUUCUAUAUUCCAUCUGAAAGAAUAACAUACAAUUUACGUAAUAAACCCUUUGAAUUUACUGACGUCUGGGGGACUUUCAGCAGUUUCUAGAGACGUCACCUUAGCUGCAUCAUUACUACUUUCUUCAUUAAUGUAUUAUUAUUUGUUUUUAUGUUGAAUCAUUUAUUUUCUAGCAUGGAAUGUGAAAGUCAUUCUGUUUCUUUUUUUGUUGUUAAUCAGUGAAGCUAAUACCGGCAGAGGGGAGGGAGGGGGGUGUUCCUGUGUUGGGGAGGGAAGGGUUUUGCACGAUGUCCACCCAUGUAGCAUGGUGUUUUGUGCAGGUGGAAGGAAUAACUGGGCAUUAUCUGUGUCAUAUUUUGAUGAUUGUUAAAUAAAAAAAGAAAAAAAAGAAAUGCCAAUAAAUAUAUUGUAAAAAAAUGUUUUUGUCGUUUUCCCACCACUGGUUAUUUACGUUUUAGUCAUUUAGCAUACGGUCACACUGGUCACCCGUGGGAAUCGCACCCACAACCCUGGUGACGAAAGCACACUGUGCUUCAUCAAAUAGCAGAACCAAAUUACCUGGUUUGAAGUUGAGAUUACAUUAAAAGUACAUGCUGCAAGUGAUCAAUGCCGUUCGAGAUUCUACAGACUACAGCAAUUGUGAAUAUCUCCACAGAUCCGCCACAACAUACAGUAUGCAUGCUAUCUUGAACAUGUACGCUUUAUAUGAUUAACGUUACAUACGAAUAAAUGUAUACUUACAGAAACCUUAAAAUGUGGCCAUGGAUCUGUUACUUAUUUUAAGGUUGAAUAAAUAUUGUUACAUUAGUUUGUAAGAUAACUUUAGGCUAUUUACUGUAUUACAAAAGUAAUAUUGAAUUGUGUUUAGUGGACAACGCAACCAAAUAUCAACAUUUAAAGGAUAUAUUAACUGCUUGGAUAGUUCAAUCUAAGGCACUGGCUUAAUUCCAUUCUUUAACUUUUAUUUUUGGUUGAGUUGGAGACGCGAAGCCAACAUCUAAUUUAUUAACAUGUUUUGUCAACAAAUUAACAGGCUAUUUAUUGUAUUUCAAAAAUGAUAUUGAAAUGUGUUUGGUCGACAACAUCAAUUUAGGCAUCAGGCAUGUCACUUCCCCCAUUGGCUGACCGUGCUAAUACCGAAUGGGACCAAACAAUUGUGGGUUUAGCGUUGACUCAAAACGAAUGCACGACAACAAAACACACACAACUACUACUAUUAUAAUAUAGAAGUAAAAAUACCUGUAGCUAUGUUCCUAUUUGGACAUAAUCAAAAACAUUGACACCACAGCGUUUCUCGUUCUAAGAUGAGCUAUACUAAAUAGAUAAUUGUGAUUUUCAGAUUUAUUUGAG